RNAcentral lists this ribosomal RNA (499 nucleotides) under uncultured bacterium. RNAcentral's name for it is "partial 16S ribosomal RNA". It matches the Rfam family "Bacterial small subunit ribosomal RNA", at positions 28 to 507 of the family's 1533-position model. The record is from RNAcentral.
GAUGCACGCUGGCGGCGUGCCUAACACAUGCAAGUCGAGCGAACAGACGAGAGUGCUUUCCCUCUCUCACGUUAGCGGCGGACGGGUGAGUAACACGUGGGUAACCUACCUCUAAGGCUUGGAUAACUUCGGCUAACCCUAGCUAAUACCGGAUCAUCUUUAGCUUCGCUUGAAUCAAUAGUUUAAUCCGGUUCUGCUGUCCUUUAUAGCUGUACCCGCGGUGUAUUGGCUAUUGGGUGCGGAAACGGCUCACCAAGGCGAGGAUGCAUAGCCGACCUGCGAGGGGGCUCGUCGACAGUGGGACUGAGACACGGCCCAGACUCCGACGGGAGGCAGCAGUAGGGAAUCUUCGGCAAUGGACGAAGGGAUGACGGAGCAAUGCCGCGUGAGUGAAGAAGGUGUUCGGAUGUUAAAACUCUGUUGUAAGGGAAGAAAAAGUACGUUAGUAACAGAACGUACCUUGACGGUAUCUGAAGAAAAAGCCACGGCUAACUACGUG